AAGAAACAAACUCAUCUACAUCUGAAGGAUCAUCUCGCUGUACAGCAAGGUCACAGAAAGCACAGCAAGAGCAGCGAUAGAUGCGUGAGGAUAGAAAGAGAUGAAGAACUACUCUAAAGGGCAGCUGGGAACUCAAUGGACCCGCCAAAGGCCAGGAGAGAAGGAAACAGAGCGAAUGAAGCCAAGAAUGGAGGAGAGAAUGGCCUACCGGGGGUCGCAUUCAGCCGGAGCAGCGGGGCGGUGAAUGGAGGGGCUGUCGAUUAGAUUUCUCACAGCUCAGGUUUAAGCAGCGAGGCUUCUCCCGUCUUUCGCCAAGAAAACUCACGGAAACAAAACCCCUGAUGUCAUGGGUUCGAUUCCCAGGGAGUGCAGGAACUGAUUCAAAACCAUUCUGCGUUCUGUGAAAGUAUCGCUCACUGAGGUUUUGAGUGAAAUCGGCCCAGCUGAAUACGUCACGUGAGCCGUCCAUCUUGCAAGGUUUUGCAGCCGUUCACUCGGGGAUCCACUAAAGCUAACGGGAACGAAGCCAAGGGUUAAAGUUCAUUUGCGACGAGAGCUUUGCAGAUCCUCCAGAGAAAGCUGCCCUGUCUGAAGGGGUCGACGCCAGGUACCCAAAUGACAGAGGUGAGGACAGUGAGAAUCCAGAGAGAGUGAUAAAAAGCCAAGACGCUGAGUGAUGCAGAAGACGAGGAGGGUGUCGAUGGCGUCUCUGCGAUGAGUUUCUUCCUCCCAUAUUGCCCAGCCCACAGGCAUCAUUACAGGCUUCAUGAAGAUAAUAUUCCUAACACUCAAUACCCCGUGCCAGAAAAAGCCCCUCACGCAAAAUCCAUUAUCCAAACAUCUUAGAUAAUGGGAUUCAACUUCCCCGGCUCGGCUUGCAGCCCUGCAGAGUGGCCGUAAUAGACUUAUAAUCAGUUUUUAUCAUUAGUUCUCCCAGCGCUCGAGCGUCUCUGCUGUGCUACGAUGAUCUGCUCUCGGUGCGAGAUGUAUCGCUAUUCCAGACCAAUCAGUGGUGGGGUCGGAAGUAGGUGGAAAGAAGCAGACCGAAGGCCAAGUGGUAAAGCUGAACAUGUGUUACCAUCUGGUGCGGAGAGCAGAGGUUGAGCUGAGGCCCGGCUGGGGCCAGGAGUCUGUCAUAGUAGCUCUGUGUCAGCUGGAGAGAGACGGAGCACUCAGGACGACCGCAGACAGCCUGACCACUCACCAACAUCUGGACCCCAGCCCAACAGAGUGAGAGACACAGAUGUUAAGCACCAUUCAGACUUACUGAGACUUUGUUUCUACAGCUGGAUGCACUUUAUUGACACGCACCACUGAACCUGCAGAUAGGUCAUUUCUUUUAGAUGCAGGUUCUCCUUCACUCUCUUGUCCCAGUGACUGGCGGAUCACCUGAGGAGGAUUUCAGGACAGGAUCACAGCAGCAGAUAUAGCCUCAAACGUAAUGAUCACAAAGAGAGUGAGAAGAGCAAAAUAGAAAUGGCACACUGCAGUGACUUUGUUGCAGCACAUGACACAUCACAUUGUUGUCACUGUGACCCAGAAGUUGACAGCUCUCAU
Cyprinus carpio carpio is the source of this 1557-nucleotide long non-coding RNA. The record is from Ensembl. Lineage: Eukaryota; Metazoa; Chordata; Actinopteri; Cypriniformes; Cyprinidae.